AUGAGGAAGGCCAAGGCCCAUUUGGAGUUUAAUUUGUCAGGGGAUAUCAAGGACAACAAGAAGGGCUUCUUCAAAUACAUCAGUAGCAAGAGGAAGACUAGGGAAAAUGUGGGCCUGUUGCUGAAUGGGGUGGGUGCCCUGGUGACGAAGGAUGCAGAGAAGGCAGAGUUACUGAAUGCCUUCUUUGCUUCAGUCUUUACUGCCCAGGCCAGCCCUCAGGAACCCCAGACCGUGGAGGCAAGAAAGAAAGUCUGGAGAAAGGAAGACUUUCCCUUGGUGGAGGAGGAUCGGGUUAGAGAUCAUUUAAGCAAACUUGACACCCACAAAUCCAUGGGUCCUAUUGGGAUGCACGCACAAGUGCUGAGGGAGCUGGCGGACAUUAUUGCUAAGCCACUCUCCAUCAUCUUUGAAAGGUUGUGGAGAACAGGAGAGGAGCCUGAGGACUGGAAGAAAGCCAAUGUCACCCCAGUCUUCAAAAAGGGCAAGAAGGAGGACCCAGGGAACUACAGGCCAGUCAGCCUCACCUGCAUCCCUGGAAAGGUGAUGGAGCAGCUCAUCCUGGAGGCCAUCUCUAAGCAUGCGGAGGAAAAGAAGGUGAUCAGGAGUAGUCAGCAUGAAUUCACGAAGGAGAAAACAUGCUUAGCCAACCUGAUAGCCUUCUCUGAUGGAAUGACUGGCUGGGUAGAUGAGGGGAGAGCAGUGGAUGUUGUCUCCCCUGACUUCAGCAAGGCUUUUCACACUGUCUCCCAUAGCAUCCUCAUAGACAAGCUCAGGAAGUGUGGGCUAGAUGAGUGGACAGUGAGGUGGAUUGGGAACUGGCUGAGUGGCAGAGCUCAGAGGGUUGUGAUCAGCAGUGCAGGGUCUAGUUGGAGGCCUGUAGCUAGUGGUGUCCCCCCUGGGGGUCAGUACUGGGUCCAGUCUUGUUCAACUUCUUCAUCAGUGACCUGGAUGAAGGGACAGAGUGCACCCUCAGCAAGUUUGUUGAUGAUACAAAACUGGGAGGAGUGGCUGAUACRCCAGAGGGCUGURYUGCCAUUCAGAAGGACCUUGACAGGCUGCAGAGAUGGGCACAGAGGAACCUCAUGA
This 1086-nucleotide long non-coding RNA is filed under the name Apteryx haastii (Great spotted kiwi). Its description in RNAcentral is "lncRNA (ENSAHAG00000016215.1)". Lineage: Eukaryota; Metazoa; Chordata; Aves; Apterygiformes; Apterygidae. The record is from RNAcentral.